GGGGCUGACUGGCUUUGACAGCGUGUAGAAGCGGUAUGCAAGCGUGCAGAGCGAUGAUGGCAAUGCUCUAUAAUAUCAGACAUCAAAAAAUUAAUUGGCGAAAACAACUACGCUCUCGCUGCUUAAUCCGAAGCACAGUAGGAUUGCUUAAUCUUGCGCAACAGUUGCGCAGACGAGACAUCGCCCGGUUGUCAUGGUCCCGAGACUAAUCGAUCGGCGGUGCAGCUAAAUCGGGAAUAGGGCAAGGCUUGCCUCAGGCCGAGUCCGAAAUUCUUAGAGGCUAAGGCAGCGGUUGGUCGUCCCGGCCUGCCGCCGCACGAAAACCAAUCGGAGACUACGCACGUAGAAACCAUAUUGAUUCCGCGUUUGGACGAGGGUUCAACCCCCUCCAGCUCCACCA
RNAcentral lists this transfer-messenger RNA (400 nucleotides) under Muribaculaceae bacterium. It matches the Rfam family "transfer-messenger RNA". Rfam says of the family: Bacterial tmRNA, also known as 10Sa RNA or SsrA, is named for its dual tRNA and mRNA-like properties. Its role is to liberate the mRNA from a stalled ribosome. The record is from RNAcentral. RNAcentral also lists the same sequence under 1 other name. Lineage: Bacteria; Pseudomonadati; Bacteroidota; Bacteroidia; Bacteroidales; Muribaculaceae.